Molecule: ribosomal RNA, 379 nt
Filed under: uncultured eukaryote
Lineage: Eukaryota
Description: partial 18S ribosomal RNA
Rfam family: Eukaryotic small subunit ribosomal RNA
Source: RNAcentral
CAAUAGCGUAUAUUAAAGUCGUUGCAGUUAAAAAGCUCGUAGUUGGAUUUGUGGUGUACUUCGGCGGCCCGUCACUAUGUGAUGGAGCUUGCUGAAGUCGCCAUCCUUGGGUGGAUCCUGUGUGGCAUUAAGUUGUCGUGCAGGGGAUGCCCAUCGUUUACUGUGAAAAAAUUAGAGUAUUCAAAGCAGGCUUAUGCCGUUGAAUAUAUUAGCAUGGAAUAAUAAGAUAGGACCUUGGUACUAUUUUGUUGGUUUGCGCACCAAGGUAAUGAUUAAUAGGGACAGUUGGGGGUAUUCGUAUUUCAUUGUCAGAGGUGAAAUUCUUGGAUUUUUGAAAGACGAACUACUGCGAAAGCAUUUACCAAGGAUGUUUNCAUUA